GUCCACGCCCUAAACGAUGCUGACUAGUUGUUCGGGAUUUACAUCCUGAGUAACGUAGCUAACGCGUGAAGUCAGCCGCCUGGGGAGUACGGUCGCAAGAUUAAAACUCAAAGGAAUUGACGGGGACCCGCACAAGCGGUGGAUGAUGUGGAUUAAUUCGAUGCAACGCGAAAAACCUUACCUACCCUUGACAUGUGACUAACGAAGUAGAGAUACAUUAGGUGCUCGUAAGAGAAAGUCAACACAGGUGCUGCAUGGCUGUCGU
This 265-nucleotide ribosomal RNA is filed under the name uncultured bacterium. RNAcentral's name for it is "partial 16S ribosomal RNA". It matches the Rfam family "Bacterial small subunit ribosomal RNA", at positions 793 to 1055 of the family's 1533-position model. The record is from RNAcentral.